This 523-nucleotide ribosomal RNA is filed under the name uncultured bacterium. Its description in RNAcentral is "partial 16S ribosomal RNA". It matches the Rfam family "Bacterial small subunit ribosomal RNA", at positions 28 to 523 of the family's 1533-position model. The record is from RNAcentral.
GACGAACGCUGGCGGCGUGCCUAAUACAUGCAAGUCGAACGCUUUUUCUUUCACCGGAGCUUGCUCCACCGAAAGAAAAAGAGUGGCGAACGGGUGAGUAACACGUGGGUAACCUGCCCAUCAGAAGGGGACAACACUUGGAAACAGGUGCUAAUACCGUAUAACACUAUUUUCCGCAUGGAAGAAAGUUGAAAGGCGCUUUUGCGUCACUGAUGGAUGGACCCGCGGUGCAUUAGCUAGUUGGUGAGGUAACGGCUCACCAAGGCAACGAUGCAUAGCCGACCUGAGAGGGUGAUCGGCCACACUGGGACUGAGACACGGCCCAGACUCCUAUGGGAGGCAGCAGUAGGGAAUCUUCGGCAAUGGACGAAAGUCUGACCGAGCAACGCCGCGUGAGUGAAGAAGGUUUUCGGAUCGUAAAACUCUGUUGUUAGAGAAGAACAAGGAUGAGAGUAGAACGUUCAUCCCUUGACGGUAUCUAACCAGAAAGCCACGGCUAACUACGUGCCAGCAGCCGCAGUAA